This 648-nucleotide ribosomal RNA is filed under the name uncultured bacterium. RNAcentral describes it as "bacterial SSU rRNA". It matches the Rfam family "Bacterial small subunit ribosomal RNA", at positions 57 to 700 of the family's 1533-position model. The record is from RNAcentral.
GCAAGUCGAGCGGUAGAGAGGUGCUUGCACCUCUUGAGAGCGGCGGACGGGUGAGUAAAGCCUAGGAAUCUGCCUGGUAGUGGGGGAUAACGCUCGGAAACGGACGCUAAUACCGCAUACGUCCUACGGGAGAAAGCAGGGGACCUUCGGGCCUUGCGCUAUCAGAUGAGCCUAGGUCGGAUUAGCUAGUUGGUGAGGUAAUGGCUCACCAAGGCGACGAUCCGUAACUGGUCUGAGAGGAUGAUCAGUCACACUGGAACUGAGACACGGUCCAGACUCCUACGGGAGGCAGCAGUGGGGAAUAUUGGACAAUGGGCGAAAGCCUGAUCCAGCCAUGCCGCGUGUGUGAAGAAGGUCUUCGGAUUGUAAAGCACUUUAAGUUGGGAGGAAGGGCAUUAACCUAAUACGUUAGUGUUUUGACGUUACCGACAGAAUAAGCACCGGCUAACUCUGUGCCAGCAGCCGCGGUAAUACAGAGGGUGCAAGCGUUAAUCGGAAUUACUGGGCGUAAAGCGCGCGUAGGUGGUUCGUUAAGUUGGAUGUGAAAUCCCCGGGCUCAACCUGGGAACUGCAUUCAAAACUGUCGAGCUAGAGUAUGGUAGAGGGUGGUGGAAUUUCCUGUGUAGCGGUGAAAUGCGUAGAUAUAGG